UGGGGAAUUUUGGACAAUGGGCGAAAGCCUGAUCCAGCAAUGCCGCGUGUGUGAAGAAGGCCUUCGGGUUGUAAAGCACUUUUGUCCGGAAAGAAAUCCUUGGCUCUAAUACAGUCGGGGGAUGACGGUACCGGAAGAAUAAGCACCGGCUAACUACGUGCCAGCAGCCGCGGUAAUACGUAGGGUGCAAGCGUUAAUCGGAAUUACUGGGCGUAAAGCGUGCGCAGGCGGUUUGCUAAGACCGAUGUGAAAUCCCCGGGCUCAACCUGGGAACUGCAUUGGUGACUGGGCAGGCUAGAGUAUGGCAGAGGGGGGUAGAAUUCCACGUGUAGCAGUGAAAUGCGUAGAGAUGUGGAGGAAUACCGAUGGCGAAGGCAGCCCCUGGGCCAAGUACUGACGCUCAUGCACGAAAGCGUGGGGAGCAAACAGGAUUAGAUACCCUGGUAGUCCACGCCCUAAACGAUGUCAACUAGUUGUUGGGGAUUCAUUUCCUUAGUAACGUAGCUAACGCGUGAAGUUGACCGCCUGGGGAGUACGGUCGCAAGAUUAAAACUCAAAUGAAUUGACGGGGUCAUAGCUGUUUCCU
This 586-nucleotide ribosomal RNA is filed under the name uncultured bacterium. Its description in RNAcentral is "partial 16S ribosomal RNA". It matches the Rfam family "Bacterial small subunit ribosomal RNA", at positions 355 to 1375 of the family's 1533-position model. The record is from RNAcentral.